UGAGGAUUUCUUUUGACCAAACCAGAGUUGCUGAUUGUUGGAACAGUGGAAAGACUAACACCUUGUCCUAACUGAAUGCCAGCAUCCGACUAUCGUGUCGCAUCGCAAUCAACCACUGUUGACACCUGGUCCAUGUUGCAGCGCUUUCAACAGGAAUAAAUAGAAACAGGACGUCUGACAAAAGUUCAGUUCAAAACGGCGCAUUGCUGCUAGCGGCCAGUUAGGACAUUCUAAUAGAAAAUUGCAAUUGAACUGAUUUUGUCACUGACACUCGCUUGAGUCGCAUGCAGUUAGGACAUGGUGUAACAGAGACAGUUUUGGCUCAACACAAUGUCGGACUGCAACGCCUCAAGGAGCAUGAUGGACAAGAGCAAAGGAAGCACAAGAGCGAAUACUCUGCAAGUGUGAAGUCAGCAUGAAUUCUCACCUUCCCAAGGAACUCUGGUGCUGCUCCAUGGGUUUAUCUGGUCCAUCAAAGGUGAACCCUGGGCCUCUAUAUGAUGAAGACCUUAGUAGGAAAGAAUCAAGG
Molecule: long non-coding RNA, 529 nt
Organism: Siniperca chuatsi (mandarin fish)
Lineage: Eukaryota; Metazoa; Chordata; Actinopteri; Centrarchiformes; Sinipercidae
Exons: 2
Source: RefSeq, a predicted model, not a curated record